This 464-nucleotide ribosomal RNA is filed under the name uncultured bacterium. RNAcentral describes it as "partial 16S ribosomal RNA". It matches the Rfam family "Bacterial small subunit ribosomal RNA", at positions 338 to 795 of the family's 1533-position model. The record is from RNAcentral.
CCUACGGGUGGCAGCAGUAGGGAAUCUUCCACAAUGGGCGAAAGCCUGAUGGAGCAACGCCGCGUGGGUGAAGAAGGUCUUCGGAUCGUAAAACCCUGUUGUUAGAGAAGAAAGUGCGUGAGAGUAACUGUUCACGUUUCGACGGUAUCUAACCAGAAAGCCACGGCUAACUACGUCCCAGCAGCCGCUGUAAUACGUAGGUGGCAAGCGUUAUCCGGAUUUAUUGGGUUUAAAGGGUGCGCAGGCGGAAGAUCAAGUCAGCGGUAAAAUUGAGAGGCUCAACCUCUUCGGGCCGUUGACACUGGUUAUCUUGAGUGAGUGAGAAGUAUGCGGAAUGCGUGGUGUAGCGGUGAAAUGCAUAGAUAUCACGCAGAACUCCGAUUGCGAAGGCAGCAUACCGGCGCUCAACUGACGCUCAGGCACGAAAGUGUGGGUAGCGAACAGGAUUAGAUACCCCUGUAGUC